This 346-nucleotide unclassified non-coding RNA is filed under the name fungal sp. RNAcentral's name for it is "partial internal transcribed spacer region". The stretch from base 1 to 44 matches the Rfam family "Eukaryotic small subunit ribosomal RNA", at positions 1788 to 1831 of the family's 1831-position model. The record is from RNAcentral. Lineage: Eukaryota; Fungi.
GUCGUAACAAGGUUUCCGUAGGUGAACCUGCGGAAGGAUCAUUACCACACCGAUCCAAGAUCUUUUUCACCGCGAACCGCGGUCCCGUUGUAGCUGGUGGUGUUGGCCCAAUGGAGGAUAAUCAUAAACAUCCGUUGGCAACCCACUGGUGGGACUGCAAGCUAAAGUGCCACGGUUGCUCUGGCAGCCGUGGUGCGCCCCGUCACUUUACGAUGUUAACCGGUCUGGACCAAACAAACUGAACCAAAAAGGGCUCGGUUGGAGCUGUGGCUUUACCGCCCAGCGACAGCGGCCUGAACAAAGUAAAAUACCUUACAACUUUCAGCGAUGGAUGUCUAGGUUCCCA